RNAcentral lists this long non-coding RNA (211 nucleotides) under Elaeis guineensis (African oil palm). RNAcentral's name for it is "long non-coding RNA (EGUI_LNC040711)". The record is from RNAcentral. Lineage: Eukaryota; Viridiplantae; Streptophyta; Magnoliopsida; Arecales; Arecaceae.
AUCCAUUCUGAUCGGCAAAUUAUUUUUCGUGUUAUUACCCCUUCCUCAGAUGAUCGUUGGAUUAUUAGUAUUGUGUAUACUAGUACUAUUGGUAUGCAGCAUCGUACACUUUGGCAAACCGCUACUGUUGUUCUUAAUUUGAAUUUGCCUACUCUCCUUAUAGGUGAUUUUAAUUAUAUUUUUAGUCCUUUAAAUAAAAAGGUGAUCGUCC